CUCAGGAUGAACGCUGGCGGCGUGCCUAAUACAUGCAAGUCGAACGCACAGCGAAAGGUGCUUGCACCUUUCAAGUGAGUGGCGAACGGGUGAGUAACACGUGGACAACCUGCCUCAAGGCUGGGGAUAACAUUUGGAAACAGAUGCUAAUACCGAAUAAAACUUAGUGUCGCAUGACACAAAGUUAAAAGGCGCUUUGGCGUCACCUAGAGAUGGAUCCGCGGUGCAUUAGUUAGUUGGUGGGGUAAAGGCCUACCAAGACAAUGAUGCAUAGCCGAGUUGAGAGACUGAUCGGCCACAUUGGGACUGAGACACGGCCCAAACUCCUACGGGAGGCUGCAGUAGGGAAUCUUCCACAAUGGGCGAAAGCCUGAUGGAGCAACGCCGCGUGUGUGAUGAAGGCUUUCGGGUCGUAAAGCACUGUUGUAUGGGAAGAACAGCUAGAAUAGGGAAUGAUUUUAGUUUGACGGUACCAUACCAGAAAGGGACGGCUAAAUACGUGCCAGCAGCCGCGGUAAUACGUAUGUCCCGAGCGUUAUCCGGAUUUAUUGGGCGUAAAGCGAGCGCAGACGGUUGAUUAAGUCUGAUGUGAAAGCCCGGAGCUCAACUCCGGAAUGGCAUUGGAAACUGGUUAACUUGAGUGCAGUAGAGGUAAGUGGAACUCCAUGUGUAGCGGUGGAAUGCGUAGAUAUAUGGAAGAACACCAGUGGCGAAGGCGGCUUACUGGACUGUAACUGACGUUGAGGCUCGAAAGUGUGGGUAGCAAACAGGAUUAGA
RNAcentral lists this ribosomal RNA (777 nucleotides) under Leuconostoc pseudomesenteroides. Its description in RNAcentral is "bacterial SSU rRNA". It matches the Rfam family "Bacterial small subunit ribosomal RNA", at positions 23 to 782 of the family's 1533-position model. Lineage: Bacteria; Bacillati; Bacillota; Bacilli; Lactobacillales; Lactobacillaceae. The record is from RNAcentral.